AAAUAUUAAACCUAAAGGUGUGAUUCCAUUUCAUCUCACAGAACCUGAACAAGGGAUUUUUGGGAUGUCAUACCUGUCUUGGAAUUAUGACAUAAUAACGCUAAGGCAGAAAGUGAGUUUGGAGCACAGAUGCCAGCAGGGAUGCUGCAUCAUAUCUGAGGACCUUUUUCCAAUGUUUGUACUUCAGAUGCUGUUGAUCCUAGUCCUGCAGCAGAAGACAGAUGGAUUGAUUCAUUUGGCUUGUCCACUGUUGAUUUUAGCUAGAAAAAUUGGGAAGCGCCAUCCACGAACUGCCGUAGUCGUCGUCCCUCAUGUUCAGCUGUCUUUCACUUUUAAACUUCGUAAGUUCUCCUUCCACGCUAUCCCUCUGCUGUACUCAUGGAAGGCUGAUACUGGCAGACCAUGGAAGUUUCAGCCGCUAUGAACAACUGCAGUCUGUGUAGGCGAGGAUGUAUCUUGGAGUUCUGAAGAAACAACCUCAUGAUGCUUGAAUAUGGAAUUUAGAAAUUCUCAGAGAAGGAUGGUUUUGUCUCCAAAUGUGUAUUUGCCAGCCUUGGUUUCCUCAGCUGGGAGAUUAACAGCAGCAAGACAAAAUACAUAUGUUCACUCAGGCUUUUUUAAUAGAUCUGGAGUGGGGAGCAAGGCUGUUUUCCUAUCUGCUGAGCUUUUUCCUGCUGUCUCGUUCUGGUUAAUUGGUUAACUCUUGUUUCUUUGAAAGUACUUUGACUCACCAUAUGAACGUUGUAAGUAUAAUAGAAUCAGGCUGUUUAAGAGUGUGUCUGGAAAUGGUGAUAAACAGUCCGUACUCUGCUCUGUAGUUCAUUACAUCUAUGGGUUGUAGUGAGUUCCCAUCCACUCCUGGGUGAGCUGAGCAUGGAAGUGCUGGUUAUUCAUUGCUUCCUUGAGAUAUUCACUAUGUUUAUUAAAUAAAAAGCAUUAUACAGUGUACA
Molecule: long non-coding RNA, 950 nt
Filed under: Coturnix japonica (Japanese quail)
Lineage: Eukaryota; Metazoa; Chordata; Aves; Galliformes; Phasianidae
Description: lncRNA (ENSCJPG00005003171.1)
Source: RNAcentral